AUCAUCUUACAUGUGUCAAGCACCAAACCGACACCCCUGGUACCCACCGCGACUUGUGCUGCUGGUGCUAGUGUGGAUGUGUACCAAGCAAGGUUUUUGAGUCGCCGACUAAUCGCCAAGUCGUCGCGGCGUGGCUGGCUCGCGCAGGCGACUUGACUCAGGGAGCGAGUCGCGCGACUCGCUGGCUCGCCAGCGACUUGGCGCGAUUAGUCGGCGGCUAGUAGCCGCCGGUCGCGCGGGCCACCUGCCAGAAUUUGGUUGGGGGGGGGGGUGUAAAUAGAGAGAGAGGACCGCGCGGGUUACAGAGAGACAGAGAGAGAGGGAAAGGGAGGGAACCGCGCGGGCCACUCCAGAUCGGCGGCCGCCGGCGACGCACCCCUCCAGAUCCUCCAAUGACGCGCACCCCCACCAGCCUCCACCGCCGGUGACGCGCGCCCCCACCAGCCUCCUCCACCGGUGACGCGCGUCCCCGCCAGCCUCCUCCGCCUCGGCCUCCAUCUUCUCCUGCGCCAGCAAACCUUAGCAGGCACUACAUUGUGGAAUGGAGGGAGUAUAUGGCGACUUGGGGCGACUAUUCAAGCCGAGUCAGUGAGUCAAGCCAGCAAGCCACUAGCCGCAACCUCGUCGACUUGGCUUGACUCGGCGACUCAAAAACCUUGGUACCAAGUUCAACUAUCAGUCUACUCCGAGUUCAGGGUAGUUCAAUUUUGCUAAUUCCUACGGUUCUCUAGUUAGAAAACCAGUGGAUCAUUUUUUUAGUUCCUGUGGUCUACAAAAUUAUUUGACCACCGUCGUGGGCACUUCUUCUUCGACAUCUCGUAAAGUUCAGCUUUCGUCAUCUCAUCCUUAUAUCUCUAUGGUAUCGUGACAUUGAGUAGGCGCGAAGUGUAUCACUCCAGCACACCAAGCUCUAGUGCAUGUCAACAUCUUCUCCACUGCAAUGGAAGCUCCUCCGUUCGAGUUGAGCACUGGUUAUCGUCCAAGUUGAGCACUAGGUGUCAUCCAAGUUCAAAGACGGUUGCAUGCAAGUACAUAAGUUUGUUUUAGUGAGAAAAAUGCGGCAUUUUGACAAUAUUCUGUUUGAUUCAUUUAUUCAAACUUAGGACUUGGCGAUAUUCGGUCUAUUUUUCUAUGAUGAAGGCACACAUGAAGUCAUGUGCGAAUGGUUAUCCCCCCUAGUGCUUCAAAGAUUUGUAUUUUGUUUCUUCAAAUGUGAUGUGCGCAUGUUUGAUGAGAUAAAACAAAAUAAAAUAGUGAAAAUGUCAUUAAAGACA
Molecule: long non-coding RNA, 1274 nt
Organism: Triticum aestivum (bread wheat)
Lineage: Eukaryota; Viridiplantae; Streptophyta; Magnoliopsida; Poales; Poaceae
Exons: 4
Source: RefSeq, a predicted model, not a curated record